UAAUACGAAGGACCCGAGCGUUAUCCGGAUUUAUUGGGUUUAAAGGGUGCGUAGGCGGACUAGUAAGUCAGUGGUGAAAGCCCAUCGCUUAACGGUGGAACUGCCAUUGAUACUGCUAGUCUUGAGUAUGGUUGAGGUGGGCGGAAUGUGUCAUGUAGCGGUGAAAUGCUUAGAUAUGACCCAGAACACCAAUUGCGAAGGCAGCUCGCUAAGCCAUAACUGACGCUGAGGCACGAAAGCGUGGGGAGCAAACAGGAUUAGAUACCCUGGUAGUCCACGCCCUAAACUAUGAUAACUCGUUGUUGGCGAUACACAGUCAGCGACUAAGCGAAAGCAUUAAGUUAUCCACCUGGGAAGUACGACCGCAAGGUUG
RNAcentral lists this ribosomal RNA (373 nucleotides) under uncultured bacterium. RNAcentral's name for it is "bacterial SSU rRNA". It matches the Rfam family "Bacterial small subunit ribosomal RNA", at positions 521 to 896 of the family's 1533-position model. The record is from RNAcentral.